Molecule: ribosomal RNA, 491 nt
Filed under: uncultured bacterium
Lineage: Bacteria
Description: partial 16S ribosomal RNA
Rfam family: Bacterial small subunit ribosomal RNA
Source: RNAcentral
AGUGAACGCUGGCGGUAGGCCUAACACAUGCAAGUCGAACGGCAGCACAGUAAGAGCUUGCUCUUACGGGUGGCGAGUGGCGGACGGGUGAGGAAUACAUCGGAAUCUACUUUUUCGUGGGGGAUAACGUAGGGAAACUUACGCUAAUACCGCAUACGACCUACGGGUGAAAGCAGGGGAUCUUCGGACCUUGCGCGAUUGAAUGAGCCGAUGUCGGAUUAGCUAGUUGGCGGGGUAAAGGCCCACCAAGGCGACGAUCCGUAGCUGGUCUGAGAGGAUGAUCAGCCACACUGGACCUGAGACACGGUCCAGACUCCUACGGGAGGCAGCAGUGGGGAAUAUUGGACAAUGGGCGCAAGCCUGAUCCAGCCAUACCGCGUGGGUGAAGAAGGCCUUCGGGUUGUAAAGCCCUUUUGUUGGGAAAGAAAGGCAGCAGGUUAAUACCCCGCUGUUCUGACGGUACCCAAAGAAUAAGCACCGGCUAACUUCGU